GAUGAACGCUGGCGGCGUGCCUAAUACAUGCAAGUCGAACGGAGAUUGUAGCAAUACGGUCGUUAGUGGCGAACGGGUGAGUAACGCGUUGGUAACCUGCCCCGAAGCGUGGGAUAACGGUCCGAAAAGGACCACGUAAUACCACAUGUGAUCCCGAGGAAUAGAUACUUGGGGAUGAAAGGAGCAAUUCGCUUCGGGGGGGACCUGCGUCCCAUCAGCUAGUUGGUAGGGUAACGGCCUACCAAGGCGAUGACGGGUAGGGGACCUGAGAGGGUGGCCCCCCACAAUGGAACUGAAACACGGUCCAUACACCUACGGGUGGCAGCAGUAGGGAAUAUUGGUUAAUGUGCGAAAGCCUGAUGUAGCAACGCCGCGUGUGCGAUGAAGGUCUUCGGAUUGUAAAGCACUUUUUGGAGGGAUGAGGAAGGACAGUACCUCCAGAAUAAGCCUCGGCUAACUACGUG
RNAcentral lists this ribosomal RNA (464 nucleotides) under uncultured bacterium. Its description in RNAcentral is "bacterial SSU rRNA". It matches the Rfam family "Bacterial small subunit ribosomal RNA", at positions 28 to 507 of the family's 1533-position model. The record is from RNAcentral.